GACGAACGCUGGCGGCGUGCUUAACACAUGCAAGUCGAACGGUGAUGCUCCAGCUUGCUGGAGUGGAUCAGUGGCGAACGGGUGAGUAACACGUGAACAACCUGCCCCAGACUCUGGAAUAAGCGCUGGAAACGGCGUCUAAUACUGGAUACGAAACUGGCCCGCAUGGGCAUGGUUUGGAAAGUUUUUCGGUUUGGGAUGGGCUCGCGGCCUAUCAGCUUGUUGGUGAGGUAAUGGCUCACCAAGGCGACGACGGGUAGCCGGCCUGAGAGGGCGACCGGCCACACUGGGACUGAGACACGGCCCAGACUCCUACGGGAGGCAGCAGUGGGGAAUAUUGCACAAUGGGCGAAAGCCUGAUGCAGCGACGCCGCGUGAGGGAUGACGGCCUUCGGGUUGUAAACCUCUUUCAGCAGGGAAGAAGCGAAAGUGACGGUACCUGCAGAAGAAGCACCGGCUAACUACGUG
This 468-nucleotide ribosomal RNA is filed under the name uncultured bacterium. Its description in RNAcentral is "partial 16S ribosomal RNA". It matches the Rfam family "Bacterial small subunit ribosomal RNA", at positions 28 to 507 of the family's 1533-position model. The record is from RNAcentral.